This 903-nucleotide ribosomal RNA is filed under the name uncultured bacterium. RNAcentral's name for it is "bacterial SSU rRNA". It matches the Rfam family "Bacterial small subunit ribosomal RNA", at positions 20 to 917 of the family's 1533-position model. The record is from RNAcentral.
CUUCCAGGGACGAACCGCUGCCCGGCCGUGCUUAACACAUGCAAGUCGAACGGGGUCCAUCGGUAGCUUGCUUACUGAGAAGACCUAGUGGCGAACGGGUGAGUAACGCGUGGGCAACCUUACCCCGAAGUUGGGGAUAACUGGUGGAAACACCAGCUAAUACCGAAUAUCGUUUCUUGAUCGCAUGAUCGAAAAACGAAAACUCCGGUGCUUCGGGAUGGGCCCGCGUCCCAUUAGCUUGUUGGUAGGGUAACGGCCUACCAAGGCGACGAUGGGUAGCCGGCCUGAGAGGGUGAUCGGCCACACUGGGACUGAGACACGGCCCAGACUCCUACGGGAGGCAGCAGUGGGGAAUAUUGCGCAAUGGGCGAAAGCUUGACGCAGCAACGCCGCGUGGGGGAUGAAGGUUUUCGGAUUGUAAACUCCUUUCAGUGGGGACGAAGGCCGCAAGGUGACGGUACCCGCAGAAGAAGCCCCGGCUAACUACGUGCCAGCAGCCGCGGUAAUACGUAGGGGGCAAGCGUUGUCCGGAAUUAUUGGGCGUAAAGCGCGCGUAGGCGGCCUUCCAAGUCAGAUGUGAAAUCCCUCGGCUCAACCGAGGACCUGCAUUUGAAACUGGUUGGCUAGAGUUCAGGAGAGGGAAGUGGAAUUCCUAGUGUAGCGGUGAAAUGCGCAGAUAUUAGGAAGAACACCGGUGGCGAAGGCGGCUUCCUGGACUGUAACUGACGCUGAGGUGCGAAAGCUGGGGGAGCAAACAGGAUUAGAUACCCUGGUAGUCCUAGCCGUAAACGAUGGGCACUAGGUGUAGGGGGUUAUCAACUCCCCCUGUGCCGUUAGCUAACGCAUUAAGUGCCCCGCCUGGGGAAUACGGCCGCAAAGCUAAAACUCAAAGGAAUUGACGGG